GAUGAACGCUGGCGGCGUGCCUAAUACAUGCAAGUCGAACGCAGGAGCUCUAGCUUGCUGGCUCGAAGGAGUGGCGAACGGGUGAGUAAUACAUAAGCAACCUACCCAUGAAGACUGGGAUAAUCUCUGGAAACGGGGACUAAUACCGGAUAGGUAUUCGGAAGCCAUCUGGUGGUUAGUAAAGGUUAAAAACACUGGUGGAUGUGCUUAUGGCGCAUUGGUUAGUUGGUGAGGUAACGGCCCACCGAGACGAGGCGGCGCAGCCGUGCUGCGGGGGUGAACCCCCACAUUGGGACCGAGCCCCUGCCCAGACUCCUACGGGCGGCAGCCGUAGGGAAGUUUAGGCAAUGGAGGCAACCCUGACCGAGCAACGCCGGGUGAGUCAAGCCGGCCUUCGGGUUGUAAAGCUUUGAUGUAAGAGCAGAACGGUAGAUAGAGAAUCUCUAAGUGACGGUACCUUAUCAGAAAGCCACGGCUAACUACGUG
Molecule: ribosomal RNA, 486 nt
Filed under: uncultured bacterium
Lineage: Bacteria
Description: partial 16S ribosomal RNA
Rfam family: Bacterial small subunit ribosomal RNA
Source: RNAcentral